Non-coding RNA from Vicia faba (fava bean), 337 nucleotides. Lineage: Eukaryota; Viridiplantae; Streptophyta; Magnoliopsida; Fabales; Fabaceae. The record is from the annotation of a GenBank genome assembly.
AAUUACACUCUCAUUUCACAUUUUCACAAGAUCAAACCAAAAACUCUCUCUUUUUCUCUCAUCUUCUUCAAGAACAACUCAACACAAACUCAUAAAAAGCUUGAUAAGUCUUCAUCCUUCACCUUCCAAUUUAUGCGCAAACUUCCUCAUCACCACAAAUCUCCUCUCCAGCGAGCCUCUCUGCCACUUGUCCACUGGUCGGCAUUGUAACUUCCGGUUGCUCCCUCCGUUUUUCCUCUGCGUGGUUUCCGAUUCGUCUUCGGUUCUCUCUCCGUCACUGCUAGCUAGCUCCUAUUGCUGCGAGUUGUUCCAGUGUUUAUUCCUUCCGAUCGCUUGA